RNAcentral lists this ribosomal RNA (490 nucleotides) under uncultured bacterium. RNAcentral describes it as "bacterial SSU rRNA". It matches the Rfam family "Bacterial small subunit ribosomal RNA", at positions 32 to 514 of the family's 1533-position model. The record is from RNAcentral.
AACGCUGGCGGCGUGCCUAAUACAUGCAAGUCGAACGGCAGCACAGCAGAGCUUGCUCUGUGGGUGGCGAGUGGCGGACGGGUGAGGAAUACAUGGGAAUCUGCCCAGUCGUGGGGGAUAACGUAUGGAAACGUACGCUAAUACCGCAUGCGCCCUACGGGGGAAAGCCGGGGACCGAAAGGCCUGGCGCGAUUGGAUGAGCCCAUGUUCGAUUAGCUAGUUGGCGGGUAAAGGCCCACCAAGGCGACGAUCGAUAGCUGGUCUGAGAGGAUGAUCAGCCACACUGGAACUGAGACACGGUCCAGACUCCUACGGGAGGCAGCAGUAGGGAAUAUUGGACAAUGGGGGCAACCCUGAUCCAGCCAUGCCGCGUGAGUGAAGAAGGCCCUCGGGUUGUAAAGCUCUUUUGUCCGGAAAGAAAAGCAUUCGGUUAAUCCCGGGUGUUCUGACGGUACCGGAAGAUAAGCACCGGCUAACUUCGUGCCAGCAG